CAUAGUGGCAGACGGGUGAGUAACGCGUGGGAACGUGCCCUUCACUACGGAAUAGCUUCUGGAAACGGAAGGUAAUACCGUAUACGCCCUUCGGGGGAAAGAUUUAUCGGUGAAGGAUCGGCCCGCGUUAGAUUAGAUAGUUGGUGGGGUAAUGGCCUACCAAGUCUACGAUCUAUAGCUGGUCUGAGAGGAUGAUCAGCCACACUGGGACUGAGACACGGCCCAGACUCCUACGGGAGGCAGCAGUGGGGAAUCUUGCACAAUGGGCGAAAGCCUGAUGCAGCCAUGCCGCGUGAAUGAUGAAGGCCUUAGGGUUGUAAAAUUCUUUCGCCAGGGAUGAUAAUGACAGUACCUGGUAAAGAAGCCCCGGCUAACUUCGUGCCAGCAGCCGCGGUAAUACGAAGGGGGCUAGCGUUGUUCGGAAUUACUGGGCGUAAAGCGCGCGUAGGCGGGCUAUUAAGCCAGAUGUGAAAGCCCGGGGCUCAACCCCGGAAUUGCAUUUGGAACUGGUAGCCUAGAGACCAGGAGAGGUUAGCGGAAUACCGAGUGUAGAGGUGAAAUUCGUAGAUAUUCGGUGGAACACCAGUGGCGAAGGCGGCUAACUGGACUGGUACUGACGCUGAGGCGCGAAAGUGUGGGGAGCAAACAGGAUUAGAUACCCUGGUAGUCCACACCGUAAACGAUGAAUGCUAGUUGUCUGCGCGCAUGCGUGCAGGUGACGCAGCUAACGCAUUAAGCAUUCCGCCUGGGGAGUACGGCCGCAAGGUUAAAACUCAAAGAAAUUGACGGGGGCCCGCACAAGCGGUGGAGCAUGUGGGUUUAAUUCGAAGCAACGCGCAGAACCUUACCCGCGUUUGACAUGCCCUGUUUGGUUCCCAGAGAUGGUUUCCUUCAUUUAGUUGGCAGGUGCACAGGUGCUGCAUGGCUGUCGUCAGCUCGUGUCGUGAGAAGUUUGGGGUUAAGUCCCGCAACGAGCGCAACCCUUAUCCUUAGUUGCCACAACGUCUGGGUGGGCACUCUAAGGAAACUGCCGGUGCUAA
RNAcentral lists this ribosomal RNA (1040 nucleotides) under marine bacterium BL40_050. RNAcentral's name for it is "bacterial SSU rRNA". It matches the Rfam family "Bacterial small subunit ribosomal RNA", at positions 91 to 1161 of the family's 1533-position model. The record is from RNAcentral.